UGGGGAAUAUUGCGCAAUGGGCGAAGGCCUGACGCAGCGACGCCGCGUGAGGGAUGAGGGUUUUCGGAUCGUAAACCUCUGUCAGAAGGGAAGAAACUACAUUGUGCUAAUCAGCAGUGUACUGACGGUACCUUCAAAGGAAGCACCGGCUAACUCCGUGCCAGCAGCCGCGGUAAUACGGAGGGUGCAAGCGUUAAUCGGAAUUACUGGGCGUAAAGCGCACGUAGGCUGUAGUGUAAGUCAGGGGUGAAAUCCCACGGCUCAACCGUGGAACUGCCUUUGAUACUGCACAACUUGAAUCCGGGAGAGGGUGGCGGAAUUCCAGGUGUAGGAGUGAAAUCCGUAGAUAUCUGGAGGAACAUCAGUGGCGAAGGCGGCCACCUGGACCGGUAUUGACGCUGAGGUGCGAAAGCGUGGGGAGCAAACAG
This 428-nucleotide ribosomal RNA is filed under the name uncultured bacterium. RNAcentral describes it as "bacterial SSU rRNA". It matches the Rfam family "Bacterial small subunit ribosomal RNA", at positions 355 to 775 of the family's 1533-position model. The record is from RNAcentral.